UGGGGAAUAUUGCACAAUGGGCGGAAGCCUGAUGCAGCGACGCCGCGUGGGGGAUGACGGCCUUCGGGUUGUAAACCUCUUUCAGUGCAGAACAAGGCUCUUUGUGGGUUGAGGGUAUGCGCAGAAGAAGCGCCGGCUAACUACGUGCCAGCAGCCGCGGUAAUACGUAGGGCGCGAGCGUUGUCCGGAUUUAUUGGGCGUAAAGAGCUCGUAGGCGGUUUGUCGCGGCUGCUGUGAAAUCCUCUGGCUUAACUGGGGGCGUGCAGUGGGUACGGGCAGACUGGAGGGCGGUAGGGGAGACUGGAAUUCCUGGUGUAGCGGUGGAAUGCGCAGAUAUCAGGAGGAACACCGAUGGCGAAGGCAGGUCUCUGGGCCGCAACUGACGCUGAGGCGCGAAAGUGUGGGGAGCAAACAGG
This 416-nucleotide ribosomal RNA is filed under the name uncultured prokaryote. Its description in RNAcentral is "bacterial SSU rRNA". It matches the Rfam family "Bacterial small subunit ribosomal RNA", at positions 355 to 776 of the family's 1533-position model. The record is from RNAcentral. RNAcentral also lists the same sequence under 1 other name.